RNAcentral lists this ribosomal RNA (465 nucleotides) under uncultured bacterium. RNAcentral describes it as "partial 16S ribosomal RNA". It matches the Rfam family "Bacterial small subunit ribosomal RNA", at positions 339 to 795 of the family's 1533-position model. The record is from RNAcentral.
CUACGGGACGCUCCAGUGAGGAAUUUUGCGCAAUGGGCGAAAGCCUGACGCAGCAACGCCGCGUGAGUGAUGAAGGCCUUCGGGUCGUAAAGCUCUGUCAAGUGGGAAGAACCUAUGUAAUGUUAAUAUCAUUAUAUACUGACGGUACCACUGAAGGAAGCACCGGCUAACUCCGUGCCAGCAGCCGCGGUAAUACGGGGGGUGCAAGCGUUAUUCGGAAUCAUUGGGCGUAAAGGGCACGUAGGCGGCCUGGUAAGUCAGAUGUGAAAGCCCGGGGCUUAACCCCGGAAGUGCAUUUGAUACUGUCAGGCUUGAGUAUGGGAGAGGGAAGUGGAAUUCCUGGUGUAGAGGUGAAAUUCGUAGAUAUCAGGAGGAACACCGGUGGCGAAGGCGACUUCCUGGACCAAUACUGACGCUGAGGUGCGAAGGCGUGGGUAGCAAACAGGAUUAGAUACUCUAGUAGUC